Molecule: unclassified non-coding RNA, 2243 nt
Filed under: Leishmania donovani
Lineage: Eukaryota; Euglenozoa; Kinetoplastea; Trypanosomatida; Trypanosomatidae
Description: gene:LdHU3.10.1460(CDS-product:RNA-binding_protei n-like_protein)
Source: RNAcentral
UGAAGAGGCGGUCCGAGUCACAGCUGCACAGCACGAAGAAACAGGGAGAGAGAUCGCUACGCGCACACGCGAGCAGAGCCUCACUCACACACAUACCCCUGCACGCGAACGCGUGAAAGUCCGCUUUCCGCCACCACCACCACCUCGUAAUGCCGCCGAAGAGCACCUUGAAGAAGGCCGACAGCGCUGCCGCGACGGGCAAACGCAAGAAACUGUCCUUUGCCGAGUCAACGGUGAAGGCGGCCGCGGCGGCGAUCCACACCACGAACGUCAACGUGCCGGUGAAGGCAGCAGCGAAGCACGCCUCUCUGGGUGCUGCACCUCGCAGGAAGGGACAGAACGCCAAGAAGACGACAGUGAACACCAGCAGCGCCGCGAAGCAGCGGGCGGCUACAGAUCUGAAGCGUAGCGGGAUCGUGAAAGCCAAGAGGACUGAGGAGGAAGUGGCUGCACCGCCGGCGCCGAGCGACGAGGAAAACUCGAGCGACGAUGAGGAUGACAUGCUGAACGGCGGCGCGGCUGUCGACUCGGACGCGGAUAACCUUAGCGACAUGGCAGACCGCGCUCCAUCGGACGACGAGGACGACGAGCUGGGGGCCGGCAAGCAGGCAUCCUCGUCGGCGUCUCGUCAGCGCGACAGCAACGGCACCGUCGAGCCAUACCGUGCCGUGCGUCUGAGCUUUCUGCCGCCUGAGUUCCAAGAGCCGCAGCUCUACAAGUUUCUUAACCAGUUUGGGGCAACGGUGCUGAACUGCUUCUGUGUGCGCAGCAAGCGCACCCAUCGAUCCCGCGGUAUUGCGUACGUUGAGUUCGACAAGGAGUCCGCCAUACCGCUUGUGGUGGAGGAGUGCAAUGGCAUGGCGCUGGGUGGCAAGGCCGUACGCGCGCGCGCCGUCACGAUGCGGCGCCGCAUGCCGUCGCGCCAGAUGGUCAGCCGCCGCCGCGCGCUCGCCUACGCGUACAAGACACAGGGCGCGCCACUGAAGAAGCACGACGUGCGUCGCAAGGAUCCCGUAGGUCUGCUCAUCAAAGCAGUGCGCACCGAGAAGGACAACAACAACUAUCUCGAGAGUCUCGGCAUCGACUUCAAGACGGACUUCUUCCAGUCUCAGCUGGCCACGCUGCCGCCUGGUCUCCUGAAGAAAAAGCGAUCUCGGUCGAAGAAGUCGGAGAACAACACUGUCGCUGCGGCCGGUAUGGCGAAGGCGUUCAUAAAAACAACUGACAUCGUGACGUCGGCACCCAAGUCCAGCCCGAAGCGGGCGACUCGCAGGGCACCCGCGACGAAGACUAAGUAAGCCACUUUGAGCAGAGAUGGUGCGGCGAAGGGGGUGGUGGGCAGGGGGGCAAACGUGUGCCACCUCGUCACGCCGGCAUAUGCGCAAGCACUUGCCCAACAGUGACGGGGCAGUGCGGGGGGACAGGCUUACCUGCUGCCCCGUGCGUGCGCUGCUCUUUUUUUUUUUGGGGGGGGGGGGGGGAGGGGGUAUGUUUUAAAUCGGGAGAUAAUGACGGAUAACAUCGAUGGUCGGUUCUGUGCGUGCGCCCUCUUAGCGGCUGCGCGCGGCUUGACUAUGGCCCUUACGUGUUGUUUUGCAGCGUCGCUUGUGGAGCAACGUCUAUCGGUCCCUGUCAGGGGAUGUGCACGGAUGGAUGUGGCCGUGGCAGUGCGAGCGCUAAAGCGCCAUAAGCGAAGCAGCACACCACGCAAAGGACAUCAACGACGGUUCCCGUGGCAAUGAUGGCAGCUGCAGCGAUAGAACAGCCACACGCACACACACAAGCGCGUGUGAAGAGAGAAGUGGGAGAGAGCUGCGCUACCUGACGAAGCGGGGGAUACACCCGUGUCCCAGGUUUGUGUGCACGUGUGUUUUUACCAGCCGCAUGCAGACCGCAUUGAUACUUGUGUGUGCUUCCUCUGAAGUGACGCAGCAAGAGGUCAGCCGCGGCCUCAGCAGCUCGCAAACAAGUGAGUCGAACAAGCUGAUCUACGCAUGUAGCUGUUUUGUUUUUCUUUGGGGAGGGGGUUGUUGAGGAAGUCCGUGCAAUCUCGAGUGCUGGUGUCCCCCCUCUCUCUCUCUCCCGUCACGCGCUCCAUCACAUCUCCUCUGCUCAACCUCUGCUGCCCUUCCUCUCAUCCUCCGACACACACGCACGCCUGCGCGUAUGCGCCUCAACAGCUCUUUGCUUUUUCUUUCGAAGUCUCUUGUUUAUAUCCGCUCUGACUGUAAGCACCUCCACAG